GGAUACCACCUGGAAACAGGUGCUAAUACCGCAUAAGCGCACGGGAGCGCAUGCUCCUGUGUGAAAAACUCCGGUGGUAUGGGAUGGACCCGCGUCUGAUUAGCCAGUUGGCAGGGUAACGGCCUACCAAAGCGACGAUCAGUAGCCGGCCUGAGAGGGUGGACGGCCACAUUGGGACUGAGACACGGCCCAAACUCCUACGGGAGGCAGCAGUGGGGAAUAUUGCACAAUGGGGGAAACCCUGAUGCAGCGACGCCGCGUGAGUGAGGAAGUAUUUCGGUAUGUAAAGCUCUAUCAGCAGGAACGAGACAAGACGGUACCUGACUAAGAAGCCCCGGCUAACUACGUGCCAGCAGCCGCGGUAAUACGUAGGGGGCAAGCGUUAUCCGGAAUCACUGGGUGUAAAGGGAGCGUAGACGGCUGAGCAAGCCUGAAGUGAAAGGCGGGGGCCCAACCCCCGGACUGCUUUGGGAACUGUACGGCUGGAGUGCAGGAGAGGUAAGUGGAAUUCCUAGUGUAGCGGUGAAAUGCGUAGAUAUUAGGAGGAACACCAGUGGCGAAGGCGGCUUACUGGACUGUAACUGACGUUGAGGCUCGAAAGCGUGGGGAGCAAACAGGAUUAGAUACCCUGGUAGUCCACGCCGUAAACGAUGAUUACUAGGUGUCGGGGGGCAGAGGCCCUUCGGU
This 687-nucleotide ribosomal RNA is filed under the name uncultured bacterium. RNAcentral describes it as "bacterial SSU rRNA". It matches the Rfam family "Bacterial small subunit ribosomal RNA", at positions 141 to 844 of the family's 1533-position model. The record is from RNAcentral.